UGGGGUGUGGCUCAGUGGAAGAGCACUUGUCUAGCAUGUCAGAGAUCCUGGGUUCCAUCCCCAGUGCUGCAA
Molecule: transfer RNA, 72 nt
Filed under: Fukomys damarensis (Damara mole-rat)
Lineage: Eukaryota; Metazoa; Chordata; Mammalia; Rodentia; Bathyergidae
Rfam family: tRNA
About the family: Transfer RNA (tRNA) molecules are approximately 80 nucleotides in length. Their secondary structure includes four short double-helical elements and three loops (D, anti-codon, and T loops). Further hydrogen bonds mediate the characteristic L-shaped molecular structure. tRNAs have two regions of fundamental functional importance: the anti-codon, which is responsible for specific mRNA codon recognition, and the 3' end, to which the tRNAs corresponding amino acid is attached (by aminoacyl-tRNA synthetases). tRNAs cope with the degeneracy of the genetic code in two manners: having more than one tRNA (with a specific anti-codon) for a particular amino acid; and 'wobble' base-pairing, i.e. permitting non-standard base-pairing at the 3rd anti-codon position.
Source: Rfam by way of RNAcentral